This 254-nucleotide ribosomal RNA is filed under the name uncultured bacterium. Its description in RNAcentral is "partial 16S ribosomal RNA". It matches the Rfam family "Bacterial small subunit ribosomal RNA", at positions 524 to 776 of the family's 1533-position model. The record is from RNAcentral.
UACGUAGGUGGCAAGCGUUGUCCGGAUUUACUGGGCGUAAAGAGCGCGCAGGCGGUCGUGCAAGUCGCGUGUGAAAGCCCCCGGCUCAACUGGGGAGGGUCACGCGAUACUGCUCGACUCGAAGGCAGGAGAGGGUAGUGGAAUUCCCGGUGUAGUGGUGAAAUGCGUAGAUAUCGGGAGGAACACCAGUGGCGAAGGCGACUACCUGGCCUGUUUCUUGACGCUGAGGCGCGAAAGCUAGGGGAGCAAACGGG